CAGCAGCCGCGGUAAUACAGAGGGUGCGAGCGUUAAUCGGAUUUACUGGGCGUAAAGCGUGCGUAGGCGGCUUUUUAAGUCGGAUGUGAAAUCCCUGAGCUUAACUUAGGAAUUGCAUUCGAUACUGGGAAGCUAGAGUAUGGGAGAGGAUGGUAGAAUUCCAGGUGUAGCGGUGAAAUGCGUAGAAAUCUGGAGGAAUACCGAUGGCGAAGGCAGCCAUCUGGCCUAAUACUGACGCUGAGGUACGAAAGCAUGGGGAGCAAACAGGAUUAGAGACCCGAGUAGUCCCUGUCUCUUAUAC
This 301-nucleotide ribosomal RNA is filed under the name uncultured bacterium. RNAcentral's name for it is "partial 16S ribosomal RNA". It matches the Rfam family "Bacterial small subunit ribosomal RNA", at positions 509 to 807 of the family's 1533-position model. The record is from RNAcentral.